Molecule: ribosomal RNA, 468 nt
Filed under: uncultured bacterium
Lineage: Bacteria
Description: partial 16S ribosomal RNA
Rfam family: Bacterial small subunit ribosomal RNA
Source: RNAcentral
GAUGAACGCUGACAGAAUGCUUAACACAUGCAAGUCUACUUGAAUUUGGGUUUUUUAACUUAGAUUUGGGUGGCGGACGGGUGAGUAACGCGUAAAGAACUUGCCUCACAGCUAGGGACAACAUUUGGAAACGAAUGCUAAUACCUGAUAUUAUGAUUAUAAGGCAUCUUAGAAUUAUGAAAGCUAUAUGCGCUGUGAGAGAGCUUUGCGUCCCAUUAGCUAGUUGGAGAGGUAACGGCUCACCAAGGCGAUGAUGGGUAGCCGGCCUGAGAGGGUGAACGGCCACAAGGGGACUGAGACACGGCCCCUACUCCUACGGGAGGCAGCAGUGGGGAAUAUUGGACAAUGGACCAAGAGUCUGAUCCAGCAAUUCUGUGUGCACGAUGACGUUUUUCGGAAUGUAAAGUGCUUUCAGUUGGGAAGAAAAAAAUGACGGUACCAACAGAAGAAGUGACGGCUAAAUACGUG